UUAGCCUUUGAUAGGUUUGCUCAAAAGAAUGGGAGAACAGAUGAGAGGAUGCUUUUGUAAUGGCUAAAUUCAUUUCACUGACUCCAUUUGUAAAUGUUAAACUCCUGUCUCACAUUACUUUGCAAUGUAACAUGUGAAGUUUAAGGUACGAUAUUACCCUUAAGAUGGAGGCUGCAUUGCACUGAUUUUAUUGAUUGUAUUAGCUUCUAGAAAAAAAAGGAUCUUAGAGAAAGG
RNAcentral lists this unclassified non-coding RNA (234 nucleotides) under Hevea brasiliensis (rubber tree). Lineage: Eukaryota; Viridiplantae; Streptophyta; Magnoliopsida; Malpighiales; Euphorbiaceae. The record is from RNAcentral.